CGAGUCAUUGUAGCAUACAAGGCGGACGGCUCAGUAACACGUAGUCAACCUACACUCGUGGACGUGGAUAACCUCGGGAAACUGAGAAUAAACCACGAUAGAUCAUAGUGCCUGGAAUGGCUUAUGGUCCAAACAGUUUACUGCCAUGGGAUGGGACUGCGGCCUAUCAGCUUGUUGGUGAGGUAAUGGCCCACCAAGGCGAUUACAGGUACGGGCUCUGAGAGGAGAAGCCCGGAGAUGGGUACUGAGACACGGACCCAGGCCCUAUGGGGCGCAGCAGGCGAGAAACCUUAGCAAUGUGCGAAAGCACGACUGGGUCAGUCCGAGUGAUUCCUGAUAAAGGAGUCUUUUGCUUGUCCUAAAAGCACAGGUGAAUAAGGGGUGGGCAAGUCUGGUGUCAGCCGCCGCGGUAAUACCAGCACCUCGAGUGGUCAGGACGUUUAUUGGGCCUAAAGCAUCCGUAGCCGGCGCUGCAAGUCUUCGGUUAAAUCCACCUGCUCAACAGAUGGGCUGCUGGAGAUACUACAGCGCUAGGGAGUGGGAGAGGCAGACGGUAUUCAGUGGGUAGGGGUAAAAUCCUCUGAUCCAUUGAGGACCACCAGUGGCGAAGGCGGUCUGCCAGAACACGUUCGACGGUGAGGGAUGAAAGCUGGGGGAGCAAACCGGAUUAGAUACCCGGGUAGUCCCAGCUG
Molecule: ribosomal RNA, 692 nt
Filed under: uncultured archaeon
Lineage: Archaea
Description: bacterial SSU rRNA
Rfam family: Archaeal small subunit ribosomal RNA
Source: RNAcentral